AGUAACGGCGAGUGAAGAGGGAAGAGCCCAAGAUUGAAAGCUGGCGUCUUCGGCGUCCGCAUUGUAAUCUCAAGAAGUGUUUUCCGCUUCGGACCAUGCCUAAGUCCCUUGGAAAAGGGCAUCAUAGAGGGUGAUAAUCCCGUACAUGGCAUGGAGCGCCCGAAGCUUUGUGAUACGCUUUCUAAGAGUCGAGUUGUUUGGGAAUGCAGCUCAAAAUGGGUGGUAAAUGCCAUCUAAGGCUAAAUAUUGGGGAGAGACCGAUAGCGAACAAGUACAGUGAUGGAAAGAUGAAAAGAACUUUGAAAAGAGAGUUAAACAGUACGUGAAAUUGCCAAAAGGGAAGGGUAGGAGGUCAGAGAUGCGGCCUGGGAUUCAGCCUUGCUUUUGCUUGGUGUUUUUCCUAGAUUGCAGGCCAACGUCGGUUUUGGGCACUGGAGAAGGGUAGGAGGAACGUGGCACCUCUCGGGGUGUGUUAUAGCCUCCUACUGGAUACAGCGACCGAGACCGAGGACAGCAGCGUACUCGCAAGAGCGGGCCUUCGGGCACCUUUACGCUUAGGGCGUUGGCAUAAUGGCCCUCUACCACCCGUCUG
This 592-nucleotide ribosomal RNA is filed under the name Dirkmeia churashimaensis. RNAcentral describes it as "LSU rRNA". It matches the Rfam family "Eukaryotic large subunit ribosomal RNA", at positions 82 to 655 of the family's 3401-position model. The record is from RNAcentral. Lineage: Eukaryota; Fungi; Basidiomycota; Ustilaginomycetes; Ustilaginales; Ustilaginaceae.